This 210-nucleotide long non-coding RNA is filed under the name Vitis vinifera (wine grape). Its description in RNAcentral is "long non-coding RNA (VVIN_LNC000822)". Lineage: Eukaryota; Viridiplantae; Streptophyta; Magnoliopsida; Vitales; Vitaceae. The record is from RNAcentral.
AAAUCAGCCUUUUGCUGCGAAGUGAUUUCGCAGCCCUUUUUAUGCGUCUGCGAAAUCUCGCAGACCUCGUUUUCACCUGCGAAAUGGUCCUUAGUGCUUCCCGAUAUUUGUGACCGACACUUUGAGAUAUUUUUCUUCAGAUUUUUGUUGUCUAAAUCCCCAAAGUCUCCUUGUAAGCCACCAAUUAUAGGAUUCCUUAGCUAUUGAGUU